CCUAGGGGUGCUGCAGUGAGGAAUAUUGCACAAUGGGGGGAACCCUGAUGCAGCAACGCCGCGUGGAGGAUGACGCAUUUCGGUGUGUAAACUCCUUUUAUAUGUCAAGAAAAUGACGGUAGCAUAUGAAUAAGCACCGGCUAACUCCGUGCCAGCAGCCGCGGGUAAUACGGAGGGUGCAAGCGUUACUCGGAAUCACUGGGCGUAAAGGACGCGUAGGCGGGUUGGAAAGUCAGGUGUGAAAUCCUACAGCUUAACUGUAGAACUGCACUUGAAACUUCUAAUCUAGAGUAUGGGAGGGGGAGAUGGAAUUAGUGGUGUAGGGGUAAAAUCCGUAGAUAUCACUAGGAAUACCUAAAGCGAAGGCGAUCUCCUGGAACAUUACUGACGCUAAGGCGUGAAAGCGUGGGGAGCAAACAGGAUUAGAUACCCUCGUAGUC
Molecule: ribosomal RNA, 440 nt
Filed under: uncultured bacterium
Lineage: Bacteria
Description: partial 16S ribosomal RNA
Rfam family: Bacterial small subunit ribosomal RNA
Source: RNAcentral